UACAGAGGGGGCAAGCGUUAUUCGGCAUUAUUGGGCGUAAAGGGCGCGUAGGCGGCCUUCUAAGUCGAACGUGAAAUCCCUGGGCUCAACCCAGGAACUGCGUCCGAUACUGGCAGGCUUGAAUUCGGGAGAGGGAUGUGGAAUUCCAGGUGUAGCGGUGAAAUGCGUAGAUAUCUGGAGGAACACCGGUGGCGAAGGCGGCAUCCUGGACCGAUAUUGACGCUGAUGCGCGAAAGCCAGGGGAGCAAACGGG
Molecule: ribosomal RNA, 253 nt
Filed under: uncultured bacterium
Lineage: Bacteria
Description: partial 16S ribosomal RNA
Rfam family: Bacterial small subunit ribosomal RNA
Source: RNAcentral